Molecule: unclassified non-coding RNA, 396 nt
Filed under: soil metagenome
Description: partial contains 5.8S ribosomal RNA, internal transcribed spacer 2, and large subunit ribosomal RNA
Rfam family: 5.8S ribosomal RNA (bases 1-121)
Source: RNAcentral
GAUGAAGAACGCAGCGAAUUGCGAUAAGUAAUGUGAAUUGCAGAUUUUCAGUGAAUCAUCGAAUCUUUGAACGCAUCUUGCGCUCCUUGGCAUUCCGAGGAGCAUGCCUGUUUGAGUGUCAUGAAACUAUCAAACUACAAUUGUUUUUUUAAACAGUUGCUGGUUUGGAUGUUGGAUGCUUGCUGGACAGUUGUAUGACCCAGCUCAUCUGAAAUUUAUCAGCUGAUCCAAACAUCAUGGAUUAUCCACUUGGCAUGAUAAGUAUCACUUGCUGAGGACUUAUCUAUCGAUGAUGGAUUGCUUCUAAUCAUAGAUACUGCUGUAUCAUAUUGAAUCAUCUGACCUCAAAUCAGGUAGGACUACCCGCUGAACUUAAGCAUAUCAAUAAGCGGAGGA